GCUGGGCAUGGUGGCGCACGCCUGUAGUCCCAGCUAUUCGGGAGGCUGAGGCAGGAGAAUCACUUGAACCCGGGAGGCAGAGGUUGCAGUGAGCCAAGAUUGUGCCACUGCACUCCAUCCUGGGUGACAGAGUGAGACUCUGUCUCAA
Molecule: small RNA, 148 nt
Filed under: Pongo abelii (Sumatran orangutan)
Lineage: Eukaryota; Metazoa; Chordata; Mammalia; Primates; Hominidae
Description: Metazoan signal recognition particle RNA (ENSPPYG00000041664.1)
Source: Rfam by way of RNAcentral